CCCCCGGUUUGCUUCCGGCAAUACCGUAACUAGAUUUUCAUGUGUUGUGUGCAAAAAUUUAUUUUUUAGAUUCCUUCAUUUUUUUGUAGAUUUCUGGUAAAAAUUUUUCUCGUAUCAUGAUAUAUAAAAAAAUAUAUUCUAAAUUUAACUAUUUCUCUACAAACCUAGGUAAUUCAUAUCCAAUCGAAUUCUAUGGAGAUUUUUCAAAAAUUCUUAAAGCUUCCCACUUCUUAUCCUUUUUUAAAAAAAUCUUCAUAGGGAGGAAAAGCUUUGUGCGAUAGGGUAACCGAAAUCAUCAUUUUUCUACAAGCAGUACUGAGUUUUGUGUCAGACACCAGAGACUCAGAAUUGUAGACAAUGGCCACACAUGUUUUCUACUGAAAGGAUUUUUAUAAAAAUUUGUAUACGGGGAAAGGUGGCAAAACAGGGUAACUGAGUAAAACAUAGUAUCCCCGGUAUUGCGAAUGCAGGAAUCACAAUCGAAUAUACGUUAAAUUCUGGCUUCUCGGUCGUUGCCCAUGUACCAGCGAAGUAGACUGCUACGUAAUUAAGUUAGAUCAUAAUUUAUAUAUUUUUGGCGAUUUUCUUAUGAUUUUAUCUCAUUUUUUCACUUGUGAUAUUAUUAUUAAAUUAUAUAGUGGUUCUCUUGUGAAUGCAUGUGUUUUUUCGAUAAAAUUUAAUAGGUUGUAAUAUACAACAAAUGUUAUUUUCUACUUUUGUAAACAGUGUUUGGAAAAUUAUUGAUACCAUUUUCAUUAGACGAGACAAGAUGAUGGUAGAAGAAAGUAAAGUAAUACUAUGUGCAGUAUAAGUAUGCAAAUUUUAUCUGGCACUUGAUCAGAGCCACUCAUAUAGCACAAUUUUUCUCUUCAAAUAGCUGAUUAAUGAUGUGGAUAAUUGGGUGGCACUUGGACAAACCUAUGUCUAAUAAUCUCACUUAUAAUAAAUAUCAUUUCGUUGGCAAAUGGGUUGAAAGGAAAGCUUGUCUGCUAAAAAAAAUUAAUCGUUUGUAAUAUACAAAACAACACAAUCAAGAUAAAAUGUAUAAAUCGACAAAAAAACAUUAAUCCUUCGACUAUAUACAUGAAUCUGAGAUAUUCGAUACAGUAGGUCUAUUCGGAUUUGUGCUUCAAACACAUAGAACAUGGGAAAAUAUUACCCCACCCAUGGGCCAAGAUAGGAAGAAAUACCUUUUCUAAAUUUUUUAAAAAUAAAGUUUACAAUUCUCAGAUGGUUUUAUUGAACGAUAGUUAUAUUGUAAAACUUAUAUCUAAAGAAUAUUUAAGAAAUAAAAAUGAUUCAUUGAUUACAAAAA
Long non-coding RNA from Solenopsis invicta (red fire ant), 1315 nucleotides. RefSeq lists it as uncharacterized. The record is from RefSeq and is a predicted model, not a curated record. The transcript has 2 exons. NCBI's taxonomy places the organism in Eukaryota, Metazoa, Arthropoda, Insecta, Hymenoptera, Formicidae.